CAAGUUGCUCAGGGGAGAAAGUAUCCUUUUACUCCUUGAUCCGUCCAUCGGCAUGGUAGGAUGAGUAGCUGAUCAAAAUUCGUAAGGUCCUCGAUAGGCGUAAGUUGUUCAGGACUGCCAUCGUUAGCUUCAGGUCGUUCCAUAUUGGAUUCAAUUUUUGACGAGAGUAAUGAUUGUAUGAAAAGUCGAAAGUCUUGAUGGUUGCUUUCCCUUUCUCGAAGAUCUAGUACAGUCGAGGAUGUGCUCUGCUCCCCCUGGCCAUCGCUGGUUCUAUUCUGAUUGAGACUAGUGUUGGUGGUUCGGAUCUGGUAAACUCCUCCAGCUACCUCAGCUGUUCUAUUUUCGUCCACUAGGCCAGGAGUUUCCUUAAACAUCACUUCUCCUUGUGAUAUCGAGUAGGGGGGAUGACAACGACUAUGGGAUUCACGAGCCUAGGUCUCAGAUGGCCAGAAGGAGGUGGAGGGAAGGGUGUUUGACAAGAUCGGCCAGUUCGUUUCAGGUUCGUCUCCGCAAACUCUUUCUCGUCGAAACCCGUCUAGAUUUCAUACUGUAGCCCCUGACCGACUCUCGUUUGAAUGCUUGUAGGAUCGAUUCUCCUUGAAAUGGUUGAAGUGUGAAGGUCAAGUAUGAUUUCCGUUCUUUAAAGCUGGUGAAGUUCGCACUUUUCUCCCGAAAAUCGAGUCCCGUCAACGGCGUUUCCUUCCAUGAUUCGGAAUUGUUGAGAUCAACCCAACCCCUACAAGUUAUUCGUUUGGUUUCGAAAUCAGGUCAGGGACUGAUUCCUGUGUUUUGAUUUCGAUUUCUUCAAGUUUAGUUUAAGUCUGAGGUGUUCGCCGGAAUGGUUUUUACACACCCGUCGGAAUUCUUGGUGAAUUCCCAAAUUCUGGGAAGAUGUCAUGGGGGAUUAUCUUGGCAGUCCCUAGGAUCUGUGAUUACGUUUUGCUCACUAGUCUUCUAGUAAUUGUGUUCAAUAUCUAUACUUAUAGUAAACUUGAAGAAAUCGGACAGUUCAGUCACAAAUAGCUCUUUUUUACUGUCAUGGCCUAUAACUUUCUGUUUGUGGCUGAAUGCACCCAACAGAUUGCAUGAUGGGUUUGACGAGUCUGAAAAAUUGUAGGUUCAAUUAAAUUGGUAAAAUAUAGAUUAAUUAAUUAUAGUUUUGGUCUAAUAUUAUUAAUAUGUGUAUGGAUUUACAGAUUAAGUAAUUUUGUAUAUGAUUAUGAUUUAAAAUAUGAUAAAUAUAAUUAAUUGACCACAAUUUGAUGAACAAUAUUAUAAAUAGAACUUGUGUAUAAUUAUUAGGAUUCGAUAAAUUUCAGUUAGUUUGAAUUAAAUCGUAAAAAUUAUUUGAUUAUAAGUUAAUAAACAGAUUAAUGAUUAGUAAUCAAUUGUGUAUAAAAUUUAUUUACUACAGUUAUUUGGUUUAAAUAAAUUGAUAGUAGUAUUAAUUUAAUAUCUAAAGACUUCUUAUCAAUAGAAUUGAAUUAAAGGGACUAUAGAUUAAUAGUUGAAGUAACGUAAAACGCUAGAAUUGAUUUAAUGAAUUAUUAGUGGGAGUGUAUUUCCUUAGGAAUCGGUGGUUUACAUUGAAUAUUUUCCUCUCACUUCUUAAGUGAUUAUGAAGAAAUGGUUUUUCCCCAAGCAGUCAAAUCGUUGCCUAAGCUCGUUUCACUGUUCGAUCGAAUUUAGGUUAAUCAAAUUAUCUCAUCUUUCGGUUUAUAAGGACGAUCAAGUUUCCGGCUUCAUAUUGGACCCUCCCCGCUUAAUUUAAUAAGGUGGGUUGGUUUAAAAGGGGUCAUAUUUUUCGAUGCAGUAUUUAGGUUAUAUUUAAUUAAUUGAGUUAUUUGAUUUAAUGUUAUGAUUUAUGAUUAAGUUAUAUAUGAUGUUUAUGAUAUUACUUGACGUGGUAUAUGAUAGUUCUUUUAUGGCAUUACUUUUAAAUACCUUGAUUAUGUUUCAUAGAUUAACAUAAGGCUAGACUACGAUGACGUUAGACUACCUUAUAAAUAGACGAUGAACCAACAAAUAAUUACCCCUCGCCUAGAUGAAUAAUAGGUGAUUAAAAUAUGAAAUCACUAUCUAUACUAUCGCCCUCGUGACUUGCGCCACUAUUGUCCUUAUGAAUUAUGAAUUGGGCUGCUAGUAUUAUCCUUAUGAAUUAUUGUCCGAUGGAUACAUACUUCGGGACAUUUACGAAUCUUACUAAUGGGUGGUAGGGCUAGUUAGUUGAGUUAGAAGAUCCUCAUAAGAAUAAGAUACCAUGGAUAAGGUUAAGAAUAAGAGUAAGAAUUAGCGUUACGAUUACAUAUGAUAACUAACAUAUGAAUUAUCUAUGAACUAUGAUACUACGAUUCAUAAUGAACCUAACUUGAUUAAGUUGUGUUUCAACCUAUGUUGAUGUGUACUUGUUAUGUUGCUAUGACUAAGAUUUGCACUUAUGUUAGGAUUACAUAAAGAUGGAACUUUUUAUGUGACAUGUUAUUUAGAAAUUGUUGAUGAUUGUUAUGAAAUAACAUGUUUUAUAUUUCAAUAUUAUUUUGGAAUUCUAUUUUAUGAUCUGACACUAAACCACCCACCAGGGUGUUUUGAAAGUUAAUGCAGGAGUGGAAUGGAGUUGAUUCAGGAUGUGGCGACGUGAACUUGUAUUUUCAGAUAAUUCUUCCAGUUAUAUAAGGAGACUAGUUUUCAACAUUUAUAAUACGAAACAUGUUUUCAAAAUUUAUGAUAAUUAUUUUUAGUUGUGUUAUUUAAAAUCUUUAUAUUUUUAUUUAUUUACUUUUAUUUAUUAAGUUCCCUAGCUGGGGCAUUUUGAUCAUUGA
This 2819-nucleotide long non-coding RNA is filed under the name Linum usitatissimum (flax). Its description in RNAcentral is "long non-coding RNA (LUSI_LNC002584)". The record is from RNAcentral. Lineage: Eukaryota; Viridiplantae; Streptophyta; Magnoliopsida; Malpighiales; Linaceae.